Molecule: transfer RNA, 86 nt
Filed under: Candidatus Poseidoniales archaeon
Lineage: Archaea; Methanobacteriati; Thermoplasmatota; Candidatus Poseidoniia; Candidatus Poseidoniales
Description: Marine Group II euryarchaeote tRNA-Ser
Rfam family: tRNA
About the family: Transfer RNA (tRNA) molecules are approximately 80 nucleotides in length. Their secondary structure includes four short double-helical elements and three loops (D, anti-codon, and T loops).
Source: RNAcentral
GCCGAGAUCGCAUAGCCUGGUAGUGCGCGCGACUGGAAAUCGCGUGGGNCCGUCCCUCGGGAGUUCAAAUCUCCCUCUCGGCGCCA